UGAUAGGUUAAGAGCUAAUUGACUGGACGUUACCCACAGAAGAAGCACCGGCUAACUCCGUGCCAGCAGCCGCGGUAAUACGGAGGGUGCAAGCGUUAAUCGGAAUUACUGGGCGUAAAGAGUGCGUAGGUGGUUUAAUAAGUUAUGUGUGAAAUCCCUGGGCUCAACCCUGGGCAGGUCAUAUAAUACUGUUAGACUCGAGUAUGGGAGAGGGUAGUGGAAUUUCCGGUGUAGCGGUGAAAUGCGUAGAGAUCGGAAGGAACACCAGUGGCGAAGGCGGCUACCUGGCCUAAUACUGACACUGAGGCACGAAAGCGUGGGGAGCAAACAGGAUUAGAUAGCCCUGGUAGUCCACGCCGUAAACGAUGUCAACUAGCUGUUGGUUAUAUGAAAAUAAUUAGUGGCGCAGCAACAGCGAUAAGUUGACAUA
RNAcentral lists this ribosomal RNA (430 nucleotides) under uncultured Legionella sp. RNAcentral's name for it is "bacterial SSU rRNA". It matches the Rfam family "Bacterial small subunit ribosomal RNA", at positions 446 to 871 of the family's 1533-position model. The record is from RNAcentral. Lineage: Bacteria; Pseudomonadati; Pseudomonadota; Gammaproteobacteria; Legionellales; Legionellaceae.